Molecule: ribosomal RNA, 335 nt
Filed under: uncultured Planctomycetales bacterium
Lineage: Bacteria; Pseudomonadati; Planctomycetota; Planctomycetia; Planctomycetales
Description: bacterial SSU rRNA
Rfam family: Bacterial small subunit ribosomal RNA
Source: RNAcentral
CUAAGGCUCCAGAGGAAGCCACGGCUAACUCUGUGCCAGCAGCCGCGGUAAUACAGAGGCGGCAAGCGUUGUUCGGAAUUAUUGGGCGUAAAGAGCACGUAGGCGGCCUUGCAAGUCAGUUGUGAAAGCCUUCCGCUUAACGGAAGGGUGCCAGCUGAUACUACAGGGCUUGAGUACGGGAGGGGAGGGUGGAACUUCUGGUGGAGCGGUGAAAUGCGUAGAUAUCAGAAGGAACGCCGGCGGCGAAAGCGACUCUCUGGCCCGAAACUGACGCUGAGUGUGCGAAAGCUAGGGGAGCAAACGGGAUUAGAUACCCCGGUAGUCCUAGCCGUAAA